RNAcentral lists this long non-coding RNA (808 nucleotides) under Anser brachyrhynchus (Pink-footed goose). RNAcentral describes it as "lncRNA (ENSABRG00000003070.1)". Lineage: Eukaryota; Metazoa; Chordata; Aves; Anseriformes; Anatidae. The record is from RNAcentral.
UUUGGAUAUAUGGAAGAAUUUUUUUAAGGUCAGGGUGGUGAGACACUGCAACGGGCUGCUGAAAGAAGUUCUGUAUGCCCAGUCAUUGAAAGUGUUCAAGGUCAGCUUGGAGAGAGCUUUGAGCAACGUGAUUUAGUGAAAGAUGUUCCUGCCUGUGGCAGGGAGUUGGACCAGCUGAUCCUUAAUGCAUCCCAAACCCUGAUAUGCUUUAUGAUUAUAUGAUUAUGCACCUACCUGCAGGGGGACACCAUGAUGAAGAGCGACCACAGCUGAGGGCCUGGAGUGGUGAUGCCAGCUGGGUUAGGUGAAGGGUGGGCAUAUAGGGAACGGUGAUUCUGAAAGAACCUGCCCAGGAGCUUUCAAAGAAUUGGCGAUGCCUUCAGUCUCCUCAGAGGACGCCCUGGAAAAGCUGACCCAGCUAUCUGUCUUUGCUGCCUGGGGAUUGUGCCUGUGGCUGGUGCCCAAAACCUCAGCUGAAAUCUGUGUGCAAGAGGGGGAACACAACAGUUUAUUCAAGCUCCAUUGUCCCCACCAUCUUUCAUGUGUCUUUCACAUCAAGGUAAAAAGAGUCUCAUCAGUUUUCUUCUUUAUAACAAAGCAAAUAAUAUUCUGAAAGUUUGAGCAAUGCCUUUCAAUACAGGAACAGCUCCAGAAAUGUCCUACAAAAGCCAUUUUUCUAAUAGAGAAGGCUGCUACCUGACUGUUCUGUAACAAUCAAGGAAAUUCAUGAGUCCCUAUUUCCCCCUAGAAGACAUGAAGUCUCAGGAUCCCCUAAUAAAUUUCUUUCCAAUCAGGCCUGAAGAAAUCA